RNA transcript from Marmota monax (woodchuck), 8029 nucleotides. It is a transcript of the gene named solute carrier family 38 member 1, with no coding region annotated. Lineage: Eukaryota; Metazoa; Chordata; Mammalia; Rodentia; Sciuridae. The record is from RefSeq and is a predicted model, not a curated record. The transcript is spliced from 19 exons.
UGCUAGAGGAAGGCAGAAAGGCGCGGCCGCCAGCAAUGACACCAUGUGACAAGCACCACUUAGUGACACGCAGCUUUGGUUGAAAGCGGGCGCGCAGAAGGGGAGGAGACGGUGGAGGAAUGGCCUGACUUUCCCGGUUAAAACAUCUUAAGCCCCUGAAUGCAGAAGGACGACGCGCCUCCCAGUAGGAAAUGACUACGGCUCGAGACCCUGAACGCCAGAGCGUGUCGAUCCCUGGGAGCCAGACCUUGACACAAAGGACAUCAAACAGCAGUUGGGAAUAUCCGGAAGGGAUAUCUUUGACAUCGCCUUUUGCCACCUUUCCCUUUAUUUCCCAAGAUACUUACUGAGUGUCUCCAGUGUGCCAGGCAGCGGAUCUAUGCGCAUAGAGGAACCUUGGAAUGCCAUACAGCAGUACGUAUCCAGUGAUCAUCUCUUCUUGCUGAUUUAACAGGGGUAUCACACAUAUAUAUUUGCUGCUAUCUGCUGCUACAUACACUCAAAACGAGAAAUUUGGACUAAUUGUUUUGACUACAAAUAACUUCUAAACAUGAUGCAUUUCAAAAGUGGACUCGAAUUAACUGAGUUGCAAAACAUGACAGUGCCCGAGGAUGAUAACAUUAGCAAUGAUUCCAAUGAUUUCACCGAAGUAGAAAAUGGUCAAAUAAAUAGCAAGUUUAUUUCUGACCGUGAAAGCAGAAGAAGUCUCACAAACAGCCAUUUGGAAAAAAAGAAAUGUGAUGAAUAUAUCCCAGGAACGACCUCCUUGGGCAUGUCCGUCUUUAACCUGAGCAACGCCAUCAUGGGCAGUGGGAUUUUGGGACUCGCCUUUGCCUUGGCCAACACUGGAAUCCUUCUUUUUCUGAUACUUUUGACUUCAGUAACAUUGCUGUCCAUCUAUUCAAUAAACCUUCUAUUGAUCUGUUCCAAGGAAACAGGCUGCAUGGUUUAUGAAAAGCUAGGAGAACAAGUCUUUGGCACCACAGGGAAGCUGGUCAUCUUUGGAGCCACCUCUCUACAGAACACUGGAGCAAUGCUGAGCUACCUCUUCAUAGUAAAAAAUGAACUACCCUCUGCCAUAAAAUUUCUAAUGGGAAAGGAAGAGGCAUUUUCAGCCUGGUAUGUGGACGGCCGAGUUCUGGUGGUGAUGGUUACCUUUGGCAUAAUUCUCCCUCUGUGUCUCUUGAAGAAUUUAGGAUAUCUUGGGUAUACUAGUGGAUUUUCCUUGAGCUGUAUGGUCUUUUUCCUAAUAGUGGUUAUCUACAAGAAAUUUCAAAUUCCCUGUGGUAUUCGAGAGCUAAAUUCAACAGCAAAUGCUAAUUCAACAAAUGCUGACAUGUGUACGCCAAAAUAUGUUACUUUCAAUUCCAAGACCGUGUAUGCUUUACCAACCAUUGCAUUUGCAUUUGUCUGCCACCCAUCAGUCCUGCCAAUCUACAGUGAGCUUAAAGAUCGAUCACAGAAAAAAAUGCAGAUGGUUUCAAAUAUCUCCUUUUUCGCCAUGUUUGUUAUGUACUUCUUGACCGCCAUUUUUGGCUACUUGACAUUCUAUGACAAUGUGCAUUCAGACCUCCUUCACAAGUACCAGAGCAAAGAUGACAUUCUCAUCCUGACAGUGCGGCUAGCUGUCAUUGUUGCUGUCAUCCUUACCGUGCCGGUGUUAUUUUUCACAGUUCGUUCAUCUUUAUUUGAACUGGCUAAGAAAACAAAGUUUAAUUUAUGUCGUCAUGUCUUGGUUACCUUCAUACUCUUGGUUAUCAUCAACUUGCUGGUGAUCUUCAUACCCUCCAUGAAGGAUAUUUUUGGAGUCGUAGGAGUUACAUCUGCUAAUAUGCUUAUUUUCAUUCUUCCUUCAUCUCUUUAUUUAAAAAUCACAAACCAGGAUGGAGAUAAAGGCACUCAAAGAAUCUGGGUCUGGUGAAGUUCAAGGGCAUCUUGAAGGUGGUGCACUUGGAGACAGUGAGGGAAGCAGGGGUGAAGUGGCUGCUACAUGAGUCCCUUCUGGAGCACCAUUUUGCUUGGCCUCGAAGAAGGCUUCUCAGCUGCCCUCCCAGAUAGUGCGGCCCUCUUUUUGGGCCUGGGGGUACUGUUCUCCUUGGUCAGCAUCCCCUUGGUCAUCUAUGACUGGGCCUGCUCAUCCGGUAGUGACGAAGGCCACUGAGACCAGCCGGAAAAGAAAGCAUUCCGGUCUGCUGCUCAUCAAGUCUCCACACAUCAGCAAUUCCUCAUCACUUCUUUUGCAAGUUCAUAGAAACAACAGAAAAGUACAAGAUACUUAAAAUGGAACAGCACUUUGGUUGCAAAUUGGAGACCUGUUUCUGUAACAGUUCGUGCCCCUCCAACAUUUAGGAUCUCUUUAGGAAUGGUGGACCUUCCCCCCAUCCCCCAAAUUUCAUGCACUUAUAUUAUAAAGUACUUUUCAAGUCAGUUAUUUUCCAUUCUCCUAACUCUGUUUUUGUGGCUUUGUAGUCUCUUAGAACUUUGAAAACAUGAUCAUCAAUCGUGUUGACUUAUUACAUAUCCAGGUUCUGAGAUAAUUUUCCUACUGAUGUUCAGCUCACACUAUCUGGAUCUUUUUAGAAAAGAAUCUUGAAUUGUAUAUAUUUAUUUUGCUUUAUAGGAAAAAACCAGUUUUUCGUAAAUAAUUUGCCUAUUUUGGUUGACAUAGCACACCAAGUUAAUCAUAUGGGAGUCACAGGGCACGUGCCAUUGCCUAAUCUGAGCACGCCCAUUGUUUGAGGCAGCUCAGAUCAGGGCUGUCCAGCUGCCUAGCAGGUACAACAUACUGCUCCCAUGAAAGAUAUUCCCUUGUGAGUGUCCUCAGAUAGGAAGGGGUUGGAAUAAUACCUUCAUCAAUAUAUUAAACUACACAUUUAUCUAAUCUUGCAAAUGAAGUUUUUUGGUUUUUUUCUUUUAGAAUCUUAGGUCAGAGUUCCUCUAGGCUAAGUGAGCUUCUACUGGGGGAGACCCCUGGUACCUCCCAUAAAAAGAUUGUUCAAGAUGCCUAAGAAAAUACUCCUCUGAAGUAGAUAGCCUUUAACUCUACACCUGUAUCAUUGAAGUGAGGGAAAUGUUUUAUUGAAUUUAUAAGCCCAGCAGCAUUUAUUUAGUCAUGUCCACCAGCUUUUUGUCAUAGAGAAUAAUGUGUCCCUAACUAAGGACUAUCUAGGGUAAUUCCUAUUUUAUAUUGGGUACUUUAGGAGAGUCUUUAAUAGACUUGUUUUAUAUAAUAAAUCUAGGUUAUUACAAAUACAAGAUUUUUGUACCUCAAAUAAGCCUCAUUUCUCUUUCUUCUCCAUUAACUUUCCAUCCAGUCUUGAAAAUAAGCUUUCAGAGAGUCUUUGUGAAGAACCUUUGGUGAAAUCACUGUGUACCUUCCUUUUCCCCACAGGGAAGACGAGGGCCUCAGUGCCCACGCUGUCUCUCUUCUCAUUACUGUUCAUCUCAGCGUGGUUUGUGCAGCAUAGAGUUGCCCCAAACUCUUACUCAGUCCCUCUCCUAAAGGGAGUGAAAAGAAACUAUGAAGAGAUGAAAUGAGAGAGCUUGUGACAAGGUAGCUGGAACAGGAAUGGGGGACACAAAGGACACCCAGAUAGCAACCCCCAAAGCUGGGCCAUCCCAUCACUUGUGAUUGGCAUGUCCCUGUCUUAUGAAUGGUAAGAAAUGUGCAUGCUCUCUGAGCUGGUCUCUUGAAACAGGGCUUAUGCCUUAUCUAUAUGUAUUCUGGUUGCAUUUUCUAAACGUGUAAGUUCACCGAGCACAGAUUUCUUAUCUGGAGAUAAGUAGAAUCUAACCACAGAUGGUUGGCAGAGUUUCCAGGCACUUAGCUCUGGCUUCUGUUCCUUCCACCCUGACUCCCCAAAGGGCUUUGCUGUCACUGAGAGUCAGUCACAGGGAACUGUCCCCCCCCCGCCCCCCCCCUUUUUUUUUUUUUUUUUUUUACAAACUAAUGUCUGUAGAUAAGACAGGCAUCAAAGCACAUGUCACAAUCCUCUUGGAGGAGAAUAAAAGGUUAUUUCCUGCUUUACACCAUCAUAGCUUUUAAUGUAAUACUACAGAAUGACAUUCGUAUGGAGUCAGAGUUCAGGCAACUGAAUUUGAUCGCCUGACCCAGAUCCCAGUACCUUAACCUAGUAAGUCCACAGCCAUCUUGUCCUUUUCAGAAGUGGUUUCCAUGUUAACAUGAGCAAUGCUAGAAACUGAGCAAAGCAAGAUUUAGUUGGCUUUUGGAAGUUGUCUGGACACCAAGUAAUGAAAUAGUCAGAGAAUGGGAUGACCCUACAUUAAAAAAAUAAUAAUACAUAAUUUAGUUUGCAAGCUAUACUACUAUGCAUCUUUCUAUUUUCUUCAUUACUUAGUUCAUUUUAUAUUCACAAAGUGAAUUCAGAAAAUUAUUAAUUCUGGGAUGUGUAGUGAUAUUCUUUGGAUCUCUGGAUUUUGUGUGUCAGUAUAAGAAAUUUGUUAUUUAAGAUAUAUUUAUUUAGAGGAAGCACAUUAUUGUUGAUGUCUGUUAUUCACAUUUUUCAACCUUUCUUUGUAAGUUUAGUUGGUUGUUAACUGACUAUAAUAGACCCUACUGUAAUUUGUCAAAUAUUAACUGAUUAUAUGACUUGUAUGGAAUUCACUAUGAAUUGUACUGCUAUUCUUAUUCAAAAUAGUGCACUGGUAUCCAAAAAAUAACAUGUAUUGCAGAUGUUAGGUAGAACUUAAGCAGCACAAGUCAAGUGCUAUAGAUGUUUUUCUGCUAAAUUAGUAGACUAAAGAUACUGUAUCUUAGCCAGAGGAAGCAGCACGUUUUCCUUUGGUAGAUAGGAUCUCUAUACUAGUGAACAGUGUCAGUUUCAUACUGUGGAUUUAGAACUGUUCUCUGGUUAUGGUAACACAGAAUACUAUAAAUCCCUAAUUUACUUCAUGUCACUUAUUGGAAGUGGGGGUAGCAAAACAUGCACAGGAAGAAAAUCUACUCUUUUUAGGCAUAGGUAGCCACCAGUUAUAAGGAAUUCAUAUUGUGAAACUUUGUGGGUUGUUUGCAACCUGGAAUGUAUUUUCCUUUAGAAAUCAGGUUAGGCCCCCAGACCAGCUAGAAAUGAUUAUCAGACCCAUAGUUUAGCUGAAAUUGAAUAAUUUAAUAUGACUGCAAAAGGAACCAAGCCACCAAAUACGAUUGGUUCCUGGGGGUGUUUGUUCAGAGCUGUCAAGAACAUCUCUGCCUGUUGCUAGUGGAAUCUAGACUGUUCAUCUCAGCCACAUAUCACCUGCUGGACCGAAUAAUGGUUUCCAGCAAAGAUGAGGGAGAAAAAGUCCAGAAAGCCUGGGGGUAGGAGGAGGGGAAGCAGGAUGAGGGGCCUGGGGGGGGUGGUUGUAAGUGUUCCUCAGCUGGUGCCUUUUCUUUCAUCCGGGGUCUCAGGCUGGACUUCUUUUGCUCAUGGGAAUUCACCUCCUUUCCAGCCCACUGCAGAAAAGGACAUCGCUGCAUAGCUUUUCCUAUGUGCCAGGGUGUGGUGGAGGCCAGCACAUGACACUUGGAAUAGCCUUAGUAUCCUUGAUUGCAGUUUAAUUGCCCAGUAACCGCAGGAAGGGUAAAAAGUCUCCACUUUCCUUUUCACAUACACCCUGUUGAAAAAAAAAAGAAAGGUACACAUCAGUUAGGGGGUGGAGGUAGGCAAAGGGCUUGGUAAAAUUCCUCAGCAUCUUAGAGGACACCUCUGUAACUGCCAAGAGAGACUUCUUCCUGGAGCUGGACUCAAGCCUCCAAGCUAGUGGUUCUCAAAGUGCAUCCCCCAGACCAGCAGCAUCAGCAUCAUGCAUGAACCUGUUAGAAUGUACAUUCCGGGGCCCGGCUUCAGACAGUGAAAUUGGCCACUCUCAGAAAGGGGCAGCAAUCUGAACAAGGCCUCCAGGUGAUGCUAAUGCACAUCAAGUUUAAGAACCGCUCUGGACUAAUUAGUUCUCUCCAUGAGUCCUACUUCAGAAGAUAGUUUCCAGGCAAAAAAAAAAUGGGAGCCCAGACAGGGAGGGGAGGAAAGCACCUCAGUGACUCUGCAAUGGCAGGAAAAGCAAAGGAAUCUCUUGCUGCCACCCGCUGUGCCCCCUCCCUCCAGAAUUACCGGUGCAGGUGCACACUCCAAAACUACACUUAGGGUUACUUCAGGUAAGGCGCAGUGAGGAUGACAUUUUUAUAGCUGUGAAGAAAUCAAAGUAAGGCGCUUUUUUCCCUUUUUUUUCUUUUCUUUUUUCUUUUUUUAAGGGAAAUUAAAAGAAAAUCCCUUUUGUAAAUGUAACCUUGGAGGAAAUACUGAAUUUGUGUCAGAAGUCAGUUUGCCACAGAGUGUUUCGUGGGGCCAUCAAUCCUGUCCUCCUUUUAAAGUGAAUUCGCAGUCAGUGGUAGAGCACUUGCCUAGCAUGCACAAGGCCCUGGGUUCUAUCCACAAUGUGGCAAAAAUAAAUAAAGUGAAUUCUUUCCUGAUAGGUCUACACUGCUAAAGGAACUACAAACUGCUCUGAAAAGUAGCAAUUUGGCUCCAUUGCAGUGUAGCCCAGCAGUGGAGGGCACUAGUAAUUGGGGUGGGUAGAAGGUGGUGAUAAUACUGGAUAUUUGAUUUUGUGCCUUGGAGAAAAACCUUCCCUCCAUUUUUCAGUUUAAAUGACUUGGGGCUUAGAAAGGGCAGAGACUUUAAGACUAAUUCCCUCCCUCAAGCAAAUGUCCAGCAACUUUCAAAACAACAAUCCAGAUGACAUCAUUUAGCAGUACUCAAAUGGUUUUCCUUAAGGAUGGCAGAUCUCAAACUUUGUUAGCAACAGAACAUACUUCCUCUAAAAUAGAGUGAAUUUUUUAUAAUGAUAUAAGGCUUUCAGGUACAAAUUGGGGGUGGGGUGGCUAACAACUGAAAAAUAUCAGAAUCAAAAGAGAGUUCUUAGAAAACAAUGUAAGAUUUGCAAGGAUGCAGACAUUCUCCUUUGGGGUUUUCUCUGAGGAAGGCCCUGAAAACUGGGCCUAUUUGUAUACAGGCUGAAAUUUGUGUUUUUAAGGAAGAAUCUAUGCAGCUGAGGCUUAUUGUAGGAAUGCUUCAUUUGUAUAUAAAUAUAUUGUAAAUAAAUAGGCUGUAUAUUUUUGCAGUUGUUGAUCCACACUGAAAUAGAAGUCACUAGUAUCUGCAUAUAAAGAAUAAAUGUUUUCAUAGAUAUUAGUGGUUUUGUUUGAGAAUUAAAACAAUUUUACAUUCUAUCCCAGGUAACAUAAUUCUCUCAGUAUAAACUUGGAACCUAAAACCUUACUUAAUUGUUUAGAAAAAGAAAUGUCUGAGAAAUAGCUGUUUUGAUUUUUUUUUUUGUGCUGGUAUUAAAAUCACUUGUUUAAAUGAUAGUUCUCUGAGCUACAAGAGUAUUUAGACCCCAAUCACUGUCAUAUAAAAAUAGAUAAACCCUAAAUGACAGAUUGUUUCUUAAUAAAAUUCUUUUGCUGUUUAACAUUGAUGCCACUAUGCAGUAUUUACGAAAACAGGAGUUAGGAGAAUGUUUUUGUUUUUUGUUUUCCCAAAACUGAAUUGCUACAUUUCCCAAACUUUGGGAUCUUGGUGUGGGGAGUAUGGGUGGGGGGACUGAAUAUUAACUAUGAGCACAAAUUUGAAGGGAAAAAAAGUUAUUUUAUCAAGUUUUGAAAGUUGCAUGUUUGCUUUUUAUUUUAGUGUUGAGGCCGACAUAGUCUCUUAUGUAAGUGUUUUUCCCCAAAACACUUGAAUCCUAAUUGUUGGUUCGUAAUCCAUUCUCUGGAGUCCAGUGUAUUUUAGACUUCAUCUGAGUCUGGUAUGUGUAGCACACCACUGUUCUAUUAAUGUAAAAACCUUGUAAAUGAAUUUCAGAUGGGUCAUUUGGGUCACGAAUCACAAAACUUUGCUAUUCACAGUUAAGCAAAUAGAGAGUUUUGUUUUCUUUUUCAGGGUGUGGUGUAAAUAAAGAAAUGUAAGGAGUUCUGUUCUAUAACUGCUCUGUUAACAUAGUUUUUAAACAGUAAAAAUGUGAACUAAAAGUA